Molecule: ribosomal RNA, 386 nt
Filed under: uncultured bacterium
Lineage: Bacteria
Description: bacterial SSU rRNA
Rfam family: Bacterial small subunit ribosomal RNA
Source: RNAcentral
AUUGAACGCUGGCGGCAUGCCUUACACAUGCAAGUCGAACGGCAGCACGGGGCAACCUGGUGGCGAGUGGCGAACGGGUGAGUAAUGCAUCGGAACGUGCCAUUGAUGGGGGAUAACGUAGCGAAAGUUGCGCUAAUACCGCAUAUUCUGUGAGCAGGAAAGCAGGGGACCGCAAGGCCUUGCGCUCUUUUGAGCGGCCGAUGUCAGAUUAGCUAGUUGGUGAGGUAACGGCUUACCAAGGCGACGAUCUGUAGCGGGUCUGAGAGGAUGAUCCGCCACACUGGAACUGAGACACGGUCCAGACUCCUACGGGAGGCAGCAGUGGGGAAUUUUGGACAAUGGGCGCAAGCCUGAUCAGCCAUGCCGCGUGAGUGAAGAAGGCCUUC